AGUUGUAGAAUCACUGGUGAAUAAGGGGUGGGCAAGUUCUGGUGUCAGCCGCCGCGGUAAAACCAGCACCUCGAGUGGUCAGGAGGUUUAUUGGGCCUAAAGCAUCCGUAGCCGGUUGCAUAAGUUUUCGGUUAAAUCUAUGCGCUUAACGUAUAGGCCGCCGAAAAUACUGUGCAGCUAGGGAGUGGGAGAGGUACACGGUACUCGAUAGGAAGGGGUAAAAUCCUUUGAUCUAUUGAUGACCACCUGUGGCGAAGGCGGUGUACCAGAACACGUUCGACGGUGAGGGAUGAAAGCUGGGGGAGCAAACCGGAUUAGAUACCCGGGUAGUCCCAGCUGUAAACGAUGCAGACUCGGUGAUGCAUUGGCUUGUGGCCAAUGCAGUGCCGCAGGGAAGCCGUUAAGUCUGCCGCCUGGGAAGUACGUACGCAAGUAUGAAACUUAAAGGAAUUGGCGGGGGAGCACCACAAGGGGUGAAGCCUGCGGUUCAAUUGGAGUCAACGCCAGAAAUCUUACCUGGGGAGACAGCAGAAUGAAGGUCAAGCUGAAGACUUUACUAGACACGCUGAGAGGUGGUGCAUGGCCGUCGCCAGCUCGUGCCGUGAGAUGUCCUGUUAAGUCAGGUAACGAGCGAGACCCCUGCGUCUAGUUGCUACCAUUACUCUCUGGAGCAGUGGAGCGAAUUAGACGGACCGCCACAGUUAAUGUGGAGGAAGGAAGGGGCCACGGCAGGUCAGUAUGCCCCGAAACCCUAGGGCUACACGCGGGCUGCAAUGGUAUUGACAUGUGUUCCGAAUCCGAAAGGAGGAGGCAAUCAUCAAGCAUAUCUCAGUUAUGACUGAGGGC
This 846-nucleotide ribosomal RNA is filed under the name uncultured archaeon. Its description in RNAcentral is "bacterial SSU rRNA". It matches the Rfam family "Archaeal small subunit ribosomal RNA", at positions 415 to 1261 of the family's 1478-position model. The record is from RNAcentral.